CAGGGAACGCAUGCUUGCAUAGAGUUUGAUCCUGGCUCAGAUUGAACGCUGGCGGCAUGCCUUACACAUGCAAGUCGAACGGCAGCACGGGUGCUUGCACCUGGUGGCGAGUGGCGAACGGGUGAGUAAUAUAUCGGAACGUACCUUGUAGUGGGGGAUAGCUCGGCGAAAGCCGGAUUAAUACCGCAUACGCUCUGAGGAGGAAAGCGGGGGACCUUCGGGCCUCGCGCUACAAGAGCGGCCGAUAUCAGAUUAGCUAGUUGGUGGGGUAAAAGCUUACCAAGGCGACGAUCUGUAGCUGGUCUGAGAGGACGACCAGCCACACUGGGACUGAGACACGGCCCAGACUCCUACGGGAGGCAGCAGUGGGGAAUUUUGGACAAUGGGCGAAAGCCUGAUCCAGCAAUGCCGCGUGUGUGAAGAAGGCCUUCGGGUUGUAAAGCACUUUUGUCCGGAAAGAAAUCCUUUGGGUUAAUACCUCGGGGGGAUGACGGUACCGGAAGAAUAAGCACCGGCUAACUACGUGCCAGCAGCCGCGGUAAUACGUAGGGUGCAAGCGUUAAUCGGAAUUACUGGGGCGUAAAAGCGUGCGCAGGCGGUUUUGUAAGACGGA
Molecule: ribosomal RNA, 613 nt
Filed under: uncultured Pandoraea sp.
Lineage: Bacteria; Pseudomonadati; Pseudomonadota; Betaproteobacteria; Burkholderiales; Burkholderiaceae
Description: bacterial SSU rRNA
Rfam family: Bacterial small subunit ribosomal RNA
Source: RNAcentral